Molecule: ribosomal RNA, 253 nt
Filed under: uncultured bacterium
Lineage: Bacteria
Description: partial 16S ribosomal RNA
Rfam family: Bacterial small subunit ribosomal RNA
Source: RNAcentral
UACGUAGGGGGCAAGCGUUAUCCGGAAUCAUUGGGCGUAAAGCGCGCGUAGGCGGGUUGGUAAGUCCGCUGUGAAAGCCCGGAGCUCAACUCCGGAGGGUCGGUGGAUACUGCCAGUCUUGAAGGUGCUAGGGGGAGAUGGAAUUACCGGUGUAGCGGUGAAAUGCGUAGAUAUCGGUAGGAACACCAGUGGCGAAGGCGGUCUCCUGGGGCAUUCUUGACGCUGAGGCGCGAAAGCUGGGGGAGCAAACGGG